GACGAACGCUGGCGGCGUGCUUAACACAUGCAAGUCGAACGCUGAAGCUCAGCUUUUGUUGGGUGGAUGAGUGGCGAACGGGUGAGUAACACGUGAGUAACCUGCCUCCUUCUUUGGGAUAACGCCCGGAAGCGGGUGCUAAUACUGGAUAUUCACUGGUCUUCGCAUGGGGGUUGGUGGAAAGGGUUUUUCUGGUGGGGGAUGGGCUCGCGGCCUAUCAGCUUGUUGGUGGGGUGAUGGCCUACCAAGGCUUUGACGGGUAGCCGGCCUGAGAGGGUGACCGGUCACAUUGGGACUGAGAUACGGCCCAGACUCCUACGGGAGGCAGCAGUGGGGAAUAUUGCACAAUGGGCGCAAGCCUGAUGCAGCGACGCCGCGUGAGGGAUGGAGGCCUUCGGGUUGUGAACCUCUUUCGCUCAUGGUCAAGCCGCAACAAUGGUCGUGGUGAGGGUAGUGGGUAAAGAAGCGCCGGCUAACUACGUG
RNAcentral lists this ribosomal RNA (483 nucleotides) under uncultured bacterium. RNAcentral's name for it is "partial 16S ribosomal RNA". It matches the Rfam family "Bacterial small subunit ribosomal RNA", at positions 28 to 507 of the family's 1533-position model. The record is from RNAcentral.